This 430-nucleotide ribosomal RNA is filed under the name uncultured bacterium. RNAcentral describes it as "partial 16S ribosomal RNA". It matches the Rfam family "Bacterial small subunit ribosomal RNA", at positions 29 to 506 of the family's 1533-position model. The record is from RNAcentral.
AACGAACGCUGGCGGCAGGCUUAACACAUGCAAGUCGAACGCCCCGCAAGGGGAGUGGCAGACGGGUGAGUAACGCGUGGGAACAUACCCUUUCCUGCGGAAUAGCUCCGGGAAACUGGAAUUAAUACCGCAUACGCCCUACGGGGGAAAGAUUUAUCGGGGAAGGAUUGGCCCGCGUUGGAUUAGCUAGUUGGUGGGGUAAAGGCCUACCAAGGCGACGAUCCAUAGCUGGUCUGAGAGGAUGAUCAGCCACAUUGGGACUGAGACACGGCCCAAACUCCCGCGGGGGGCGGGAGGGGGGAAUAUUGGACAAUGGGCGAAAGCCUGACCCGGCCCGGCCGGGGGAGGGAGGAAGGCCUUAGGGUUUAAAAGCUCUUUCCCCGAGGAAGAUAAUGACGGGAGUCGGAGAAGAAGCCCCGGCAAACUUCGU